GUGUCAGCCGCCGCGGUAACACGUAGGGGCCGAGCGUUGUCCGGAGUUACUGGGCGUAAAGCGCGCGCAGGCGGUUUCGCGCAUCCGUGGUGAAAGCCCCGCGCUCAACGCGGGAGAGUCCAAGGAGAUGGCGAGACUGGAGGCAGGGCGAGGCCGGUGGAAUUCCGGGUGUAGUGGUGAAAUGCGUAGAGAUCCGGAGGAACACCAGUGGCGUAGGCGGCCGGCUGGACCUGUCCUGACGCUGAGGCGCGAAGGCGUGGGGAGCGAACGGGAUUAGAUACCCGCGUAGUCC
RNAcentral lists this ribosomal RNA (292 nucleotides) under uncultured bacterium. RNAcentral describes it as "partial 16S ribosomal RNA". It matches the Rfam family "Bacterial small subunit ribosomal RNA", at positions 505 to 796 of the family's 1533-position model. The record is from RNAcentral.